Molecule: long non-coding RNA, 640 nt
Filed under: Brachypodium distachyon (stiff brome)
Lineage: Eukaryota; Viridiplantae; Streptophyta; Magnoliopsida; Poales; Poaceae
Description: long non-coding RNA (BDIS_LNC004732)
Source: RNAcentral
GCACAACCAGCCAUCAUCAAGAUCAACAACUGUAAGUUUCAUCUCUCUUAACUACGACAUGACUAUGCCAAAUAAUACUCAUCUAGUGAAUUUUAUUAUUUGUAUCUUGCAGACAUGCACUAGAUCGAACAAGAUGCUAAAAUCUACUGCUAAGGGAAGAGCAAUUGGUGGAUCAGCUAGCAUGAAGGUGAAUGCAAAAGGGCAACUUUCACAAGCAAGUUCUAGUGUGACUGAGUGUGACGUCUGGCAACUGUGCCUGGAGGACUAAGCAUCAUAUUAUUGAUCAGUUCGCCUGGAAAUUAUGUUCAUUAUUGCUGUUGAACUGCGAUGCUUUUGUGAGAAUUCUGUACGGUUGAACUAUGUUGCUUUAAUCUGUACCUUUGAACCAUGUUCCUUUUGUGAGAAUUUUGUGCUGUGAAAUGGCAGACUAGUUUGCUGCUAUUGUUGAACUAUGUUAGCUAGCUGUUACAAUAUGCUGCGCUCUCAAAUAUUACAUCAGUGGAACCAAAAAGAAAUAGGAAUGGGACAUACACAAAUGACAUGCGCAUGUCAGAAAUAGAUAAUUCUCUACUCCCUCCGUUCCCAAUUAAUUGGCGCCGGCCAUUUUGCAAAAAAAAAAAACCUAUAUUAAUUUACGAAA